CAACAUUUACUGCAUAUAAUCCCUACAGGCAAGAGGAUGAUGUACCUUCUGGUCUUGUUCGGCUAAUGAGCAAUCAUCAUGGACAUCUCUUUAACCAGAGGCCUGGUUCCCAGAAAGGAGAAGCAGAACAGAAAGUUGGAGAGCAAGGUUGGAGAGCAAGGUGCAAGCCAUAACUUGAGGACCAUUUCCAGAAGGUCUGUUCUCCCCAUGACAUCUUUUGUCAUCUCCCUGAGAGACGUGGCUGCUCUUCAAGAUUUGACUGUGUGAAGGAGUGAAGGUGUAGCAGAGAAGGAUUCAGAUGACAGCCUGACACAGUUGUUGACUUGAUUGUGGUGAUAUCCAUAGCCUCCUACUCUGUGCCAUGGAUCCCCUUGCGUCACAGUAUUCCAUCUUUCUAAAGUUCAGAGCAUCACAUGGUUUCUUCUCAUCCGUUUUGCACAUAUCAAAAUGGUCCAAACUUGGAAAAUACAGUGACUCCCCCCCUCCACUAUCUAUCUUCAGCCAUAGUUAUGGUGACCACAGAAUUCAUCUUCAGCCAUCACCAUUGUAUAGCCCCAGUACACAUAUCCAUGUUAAUUUUUUGGCUGUUUCUUAUUCUAAAUUUGACCAAGUAAGGAUCUGGCCCACUGCACAUACUGGGUUGUGGAAACUGAAUAAAAUAUGGUAACAGUGGGGAGGGCACCCAAGGAAGGGCAAAAAUAUAUUUCAUACAAUUCAGCCUGGCAUUUUCAGUAACUCAAAUGAGUUCAUGUGACAGGAGAAGUCACAUGUUGUACUCCUGGUAUCUGCAUGUGAAACUUUAGUCUUAAACAAUUUCACAUGGGGUUCAUCUUUAAUGAAGAGUUCAUUACCUUGCUGACACUUAAUCCACCUUCAUGGAGACCUACUACUACUACUAGUCCCAACUACAGCAGAGCCAUUGAAUUUAUGCAUGUGUGUUCACUCACUAUUCAACAAUUUUUUGAAUGGGUCUGCUCCAGUUGAAACUAGCCAAAAGUAUUCCAGCCAGGACCAUUUCUAAUAUUUUUCCAUUUAAGCAUCUCUGCCUGCUUUCUUUUCUCUUCCCCACGUUACUCCUACAAUAAAUUAAAAUAAAAUUAUGGAGGUGCCUCAUAAAAUAAUCUACAGGGGGAGGAAAUGUGCCAGAGUUUUGGAUUACAGCUUGUCUGCAGAAGACAAAUGACCUAAUACACAGGUUCAGAUAUGUGGGUGAGGCAUGGGCUGCUGUCACACAGCAGAAUUAAUGCAGUUUGACACCGGUUUAACUGUCACGGCUCCAUCGUAUGAAAUGCUGGAAUUUGUAGUUUGUUGUAAUCUAGAAUUAAGUGCAUUAAUGCACAGCUAGUCAAAAAUUCAAGACUCUGGAACUCCCUCCCUAGAGAUUCUAUCCCUGCCUUCCUUUUGGUGGCAGCUAAAAAUAUUUUUGUGCCAUCAGGCUUUUUCAAACUGACAUGGUGGGCUUUAAAUGCUGUUUAUAUUUUAAGGUUUGUACUGAGUUUUUAACAUAUUUUACAUUUUAAAGUCUAGCUGUUUUAACUUUUAAAAUUGUUUAAUAGUUUUUAAAUUUUAUAUUUACACAUUUUAAUGCUUUUGUGUUGUUUUAAAAUUGUUUUGUUUUAAAUUUGAUGUUCGCUGCUUGAGUCCCUGUAGUGGGAGAAGGGUGGGAUAUAAGUGAAUUAAAUAAAUACAUAAAUAAAUGCUUUCACUUUUGACUUAACCACAUUUCCCUGACUCAUCCAGACUCAUGGAAUGGUUGCUUGUUCCAACUCUGAUAUCUUAAUAAGCCAGGAUAUCAAACCAUGAUCUUCUGGCAUCCUGGUUUUUUUUAACCAACUAUAUUUGUGGGGAAAAGUGAGAAAUCCUGAUUCAUUCAAAAGCAAGGGUAGAAAGUUUUGAUUUCUUUUUGUAUACAAAAAGGAAAAAGAGGGGAAGGGAAAGAUAAACCCAAGGUUUGCAAAGGCCCAUAUUGUAGUGAUGAACUAUGCUUUGUUGUUACAGUUUGAAGCCGGCCAAUGCAUCUUUUGCGAGAAUUGCAUGUUACUACGGCAAACAUAUAUUUUAGUUUUGUGUUUGCACAGAGAAUGAGAGCACAGUGGCAGGGAUCAAAGGGGUGUUUAAUCCUUCCCAUGGAGGAAAAUGAUGACAAACAUCCACAGGAGAGAGAAGUGGUAGGAAGCAGCUAAGCAAACUAUUUCUGCCCUCCAAUUCUUUUCUACAAAUACCUUCCAGAUUAGCAGUAUGAGGCAAAUACUAGAAUAAAAAGCCUAGAUUUUAUUAUGGCUAUGCAACACUACACUAGGAAAUAUUUUAUCCAUGCGCUAGCUAGCUGGAUGUUGUGAUACCUUCAAAAGAUACCUAUGUUGAAUGAGUUUUAUUGACAUUUG
Long non-coding RNA from Sceloporus undulatus (fence lizard), 2384 nucleotides. RefSeq lists it as uncharacterized. The transcript has 3 exons. Lineage: Eukaryota; Metazoa; Chordata; Lepidosauria; Squamata; Phrynosomatidae. The record is from RefSeq and is a predicted model, not a curated record.